UGCUACCAGCAGACACUGCUCCCUCUUUUUCCUGCUCCUAAUGCCAAGAUUCCAUUAUUUUUUUAAAAAAGGCAAGGCACGGCACGGCACCAAGGCAGCCUUUUUUGGAUUUACUUUGCUUCCUUGCACUGAAAAAGAUACUGACUUUGGGAGCCUUCCCAGAUUUACAAAACUAAAACAAAAAAGUAUGGGGUUGAUAGAAGCUGGGGCUAAGAACAGGAGCUCACCCCAUCACACGAAUUUGAACCACUGACCUUCCGACCAGCAAGUUCUGCAGCUUGGCAGUUUAACCCACUGCACCACUGCGGCUCCCAACCUCUUAGGUUUCCCACAACUCCACUUUGAAUCUAUUUAAGAAGCAAUGAAGGGACCUUAUGGUUGGAAAGGAAUCAAGAAACAAUGAAGGGACCUUAUGGUUGGAAAGGAAUCAAGUAGCUCCUCCUCCUCUUCAUCUUUAACAUUGCUGUGUUUUUAAUAACUUGAAUAUACUUUUUGGAGACUGUAAAAAUACAAGUAAAAACUGGAAUACAAUUUACUUUUGUUUGUGGCAAAAUCAAGGUUUUGAAACUUCAGAGUUUGGAAGAAAAAUGGAAAUAUUUUCAUGCCAUGGAUAAUUGAAUUUGUGGGUGCAGAACCCAUGGAUAUAGGGGGAUGACUAGUUUAUAAACAGGCUUGAAUUGCUUUAGGCACUUCCAGUGGUAAGGAAAGAAUGAGUAUAUGCUAUGAACUUUUUAUUUAUGUAUUUAUGAAUAAACUGAGACUGCUGUACUAUGGAUAAAGAUAUGACAUGGGUCAGUGGAACAGACAAUAACACUGGGAAAACUGGAUGGUGGAAGGAAAAGAGGGUGAUCACACUACAAGAUAGAAAUAAUCAUACAUGCCACAGCCCUGUGUUUGUGGACUUGAGCAUAGUUGUUGACCUGGGAUCCUGGGAGUCACCACCAUUGGGUCACCAUCAGUCAAAGUUGACUUGACAGCAACAUUUUUACAGUCAUACUACAUUGCUCCUUUUACUUUCACAACUCAUUCAUUUUGUUACAUUUAUUUUACAUUUUGAUGAGAUUCUCCCUUUCUUUUACUUUUAUAUGGAAGAAAACAGUUUAUGCAACAACACUUCAGGCCCAUGAAUAAGUAGGAUUUAGUUAUUAAAGGAAUAAAAAUAGAACUACA
Long non-coding RNA from Anolis carolinensis (green anole), 1170 nucleotides. RefSeq lists it as uncharacterized. The record is from RefSeq and is a predicted model, not a curated record. NCBI's taxonomy places the organism in Eukaryota, Metazoa, Chordata, Lepidosauria, Squamata, Anolidae. The transcript has 3 exons.